GUGGGUUUGGUUCCAGACCACUGCAAUAAAGUAAAUAUCAGAAUAAAGUUCAUCCCAUUGUGGUCAGAGAAGAUGCUUGAUAUGAUUUUAAUCUUCUUAAGUUUGUUAAGACGUUUUAUGGCCUAAAAUAUGAUUUAUCCUGGAGAAUGUUCCACGUGUGCUUGAGAAGAAUGUGUAUUCUGCUAUUUUUGGAUGGAAUGUUCUGUAAAUGUCUGUUAAGUCCGACAUCUGUUCUAAUGUAUAGUUCAAGUCCACCAUUUCCUUGUUUAAUUUCUGUCUAGAUGAUCUAACCAAUGUUGAAAAUGGGGUAUUUAAGCCCCUUACUAUUAUUAUAUUGCUGUCUAUUUCUCCGUUCCUAGAUGUUAAUAUUUGCUGUAUACAUUUCAGUCUCUGAUGUUGGGUGUAUAUAUAUUUAUGAUUGAGAUUAUGUCUUCUUGAUGAACUGACCACCUUUAUCAUUAUAUAUUGACCUUUUAUGUUUCUUGUUACUAUUUUUGGCUUAAAGUGUAUCUGUCAGGUAUAAGUGUAGCUACCCCUCACACUUUUGGUUUCCACGUGCAUGGAAUAUCUUUUUCCACCCCUUAACUCUGAGCCUAUGCCUGUUCUUAAGCUGAAGCAAGACUCUUGUAGGCAGCAUCUAGUUGGGGCUUGUUUUUUGUCCAUCCAGCCCUUCUGUGCCUCUCGAUUGGUUAAUUCAACCCAUUGCAUUUAGAAUUGUUAUUGAUUUGUAAGGAAUUACUAGUGCCAUCUUGUUAAUAGUUUUCUGAUUGUUUUGUAUUUCCAUUAUUUCUCCCUGUAUUUCUGUGUCUCCCUUUGUAAAGUGGUGAUUUUCUGUGGUAGGGUCUCUCUUUCCCUUUUCUUUAUCUUUUGUGCUUUAACUCUAGGUUUUUGCCUAUGGUUACCAUGAGGCUUACACAAGACAUCUCUUAGACAACAGUCCAUUUUAAGCUGAUAGUAACUUAACUUUGUUCGCCUACAAAAGCUUCACCCUUUUAUUUUGAUGUCAUUAUUUACCUCACCU
This 1021-nucleotide long non-coding RNA is filed under the name Equus asinus (donkey). Its description in RNAcentral is "lncRNA (ENSEASG00005038803.1)". The record is from RNAcentral. Lineage: Eukaryota; Metazoa; Chordata; Mammalia; Perissodactyla; Equidae.